Molecule: ribosomal RNA, 253 nt
Filed under: uncultured bacterium
Lineage: Bacteria
Description: partial 16S ribosomal RNA
Rfam family: Bacterial small subunit ribosomal RNA
Source: RNAcentral
UACGAAGGGGGCUAGCGUUGUUCGGAAUUACUGGGCGUAAAGCGCACGUAGGCGGUGGUCUUUGUCAGAGGUGAAAGCCCGGGGCUCAACCCCGGAACUGCCUUUGAAACUAGAUAGCUAGAAUCUUGGAGAGGUCAGUGGAAUUCCGAGUGUAGAGGUGAAAUUCGUAGAUAUUCGGAAGAACACCAGUGGCGAAGGCGACUGACUGGACAAGUAUUGACGCUGAGGCACGAAAGCGUGGGGAGCAAACAGG